AGAGUAUCAAGUGGUUUUUUCUCUGUAGGAACCCGAACGGCCUUCUCCCAUAUUCGCAACCUCUUCUCUGAGAGAGAGAGAGAGAGAGAGAGAGAGAGAGAAUCUGUUAUCUGAUAUCUCUCGUUCGUGUCUCCCUCGCAAUACGUGCAAAGGCAUGUGAGAGGUAUGGGAGAAGGCUUCUCUCCAAUCAUACUUCCCUUUUUGCCCCCUUAAAUCUCUUUAAUUUCCAUCUUCUUCUUCCCUCGCUCUCAGCUUCUGCUCCUGAGAUCUUCAUCAAUUUCUCGCAUCAGCACCGCAAUUUCUCGCGAUUCCAUCUCUCCAGCAAUGGAUCCGUCGGAUCUCUCUUCAAAGGCCCCUGUCAUUCCACCUCUCCCAAGGGACUCCCGCGGCUCUCUGGAAGUUUUCAACCCCUCAUCCUUAUCUCCAAGGUCCACCCUCACUCAAUCCAACACCAGUAAGUUCCCAUCCUACUCCACGUGGCAGAACAAGGGAGACCCACGUGGGACCUCAGAAUCCGAGUCCCCCAAGCUAUCAAAGUCUCCCACGAUGCCGCCCACCGAUGAGAUAACCUCAUGGAUGGCACUCAAGGACACACCCCAACAGCCCAAAGACUCACCAACGGUCACGAUCGAGAAUCCAACGGCUAAGAUGACAGGAGAGGUAGGGGCAAUCGCGCAGCGGGCAGCAGAAUGGGGACUUGUUUUGAAGACAGAUGUAGAGACGGGUAAGCCACAGGUGGGAGUGAGGAGAUCAGGUGAGGAAGGAAGUCAUAAGGCGGUAGUGUCGAGAAGGAAUUCUGGUAAUUCGGUUAGGAGUUCGGAUGAAGAAAGUGGAUCGAGAGGGAUUCCCAGAGCGUCGGAGGAUCUCAAAGACGCGCUGUCCACUUUCCAGCAGACGUUCGUUGUGUCCGACGCGACGAAGCCUGACUAUCCAAUCAUGUACGCUAGCGCUGGGUUCUUCAAGAUGACCGGCUACCUGGCUAAAGAGGUCAUUGGCAGGAACUGCCGAUUCCUUCAAGGCGCGGACACCGACCCAGCUGAAAUUGCUAAGAUAAGGGAAACACUAGAGGCAGGGACGAGCUACUGUGGCCGUUUAUUGAAUUAUAAGAAGGAUGGGACACCAUUUUGGAACCUGUUAACGAUAUCACCGAUCAAGGAUGAAAAGGGGAGUAUUCUUAAGUUCAUCGGAAUGCAAGUGGAGGUGAGCAAGCAUACGGAGGGAAUAAAGGAAAAGAUGGUCCGUCCAAACGGCUUGCCGGAAUCCUUAAUCCGUUAUGACGCUCGACAGAAAGAAAUGGCUACUAGUUCUGUGUCCGAGCUUGUUUUGGCAAUAAAGCGACCUCGUGCACUUUCUGAAUCAACAAAUCGCCCAUUUAUGCGAAAAUCUGAAGGAGGUGGAGAACAGGCAAGACAUGAUGCCAUAGGAAGAAGAUAUUCAGAAAAUAUUGCUCCAACAAUACGUACUUCACAUACUGGUAUUAAAAAUUCAAUGCAAAAAAUCAAUGAAAUGCCCGAUGAAGGAAAGAAAUCAAAAAGAUCAGAACGACGUUCUUUUAUGGGGUUUUUGAGAAAAAGACAAUCAAUUGAUGAAAACCAUGAACUGCAAGUAACUAUGGAUGAAGAUUUAUUUGAAGAUAACGAUGAUGAAAGGCCCCAAAGCUUUGAUGAUAAAAUAAGGAAGAAAGAAAUGAGAAGAGGUAUUGAUCUCGCAACAACGCUUGAACGUAUUGAGAAGAAUUUUGUUAUCACUGAUCCAAGAUUGCCUGACAAUCCUAUUAUUUUUGCAUCAGACAGCUUUUUGGAGCUUACAGAAUAUAGUCGUGAAGAAAUCUUAGGAAGAAAUUGCAGGUUUCUCCAAGGCCCUGAAACUGAUCCUGCGACAGUGAGAAACAUAAGACAGGCUAUCGAUAACCAAACAGAUGUCACUGUCCAACUGAUAAACUACACGAAAAGUGGUAAGAAGUUCUGGAAUGUGUUCCAUCUGCAACCUAUGCGUGAUCAGAAGGGGGAGGUGCAGUAUUUCAUCGGGGUGCAACUGGAUGGUAGUGAACAUGUUGAGCCACUUCAUAACUGUAUUCCAGAGGAAACAGCGAAAGAGAGUACAAAACUGGUGAAAGAAACUGCAGAAAACGUUGAUGAAGCCGUGAGAGAACUUCCAGAUGCUAAUAUGAAACCGGAGGACCUAUGGAGCAAUCACUCAAAGGUGGUCUUCCCAAAGCCUCAUAGGAAGGACAGCUCAUCAUGGAGAGCUAUCCAAAAGGUUCUACAAAGUGGAGAACAGUUAGGCUUAAAACAUUUUAGACCAGUGAAACCUUUGGGAUCUGGUGACACAGGCAGUGUGCAUUUGGUGGAAUUAUGUGGAACUGGAGAGUUAUUUGCAAUGAAAGCUAUGGAUAAGAACGUUAUGCUUAAUCGCAACAAGGUGCACAGAGCUUGUGCAGAAAGAGAAAUACUUGACAUGCUGGACCACCCUUUUCUUCCUGCACUUUAUGCUUCUUUUCAGACCAAAACACAUAUUUGUCUGAUAACUGAUUACUGCCCUGGUGGAGAGCUCUUUCUGCUUUUGGACAGGCAACCCUUGAAGGUCCUUAAAGAAGAUGCUGUAAGGUUCUAUGCUGCAGAAGUAGUUGUGGCACUGGAAUACCUUCACUGUCAAGGUAUUAUCUAUAGGGAUUUGAAACCUGAAAAUGUCUUAAUCCAAGGCAAUGGACAUGUAUCAUUGACAGAUUUUGAUCUAUCAUGUUUGACAUCAUGCAAACCACAGCUUUUGCUUCCAAACGCCCACGAAAAGAAAAAGCAGCAUAAAGGGCAGUUACCUCCAAUUUUCAUAGCUGAACCAAUGCGAGCAUCAAACUCCUUUGUUGGAACUGAAGAGUAUAUUGCACCAGAAAUUAUCACUGGAGCUGGCCAUACUAGUGCUGUUGACUGGUGGGCUCUUGGAAUUCUUCUUUACGAAAUGCUUUAUGGAUAUACACCAUUCAGAGGAAAGACGAGGCAAAAGACAUUUGCCAAUAUUCUUCACAAGGAUCUUAAAUUUCCUGCUAGUCUUUCGGUAAGUUUUCAUGCAAGGCAGUUAAUGUACCGCUUGUUGCACCGGGAUCCAAAAAACAGAUUGGGUUCAUGUGAAGGAGCCAACGAAAUUAAGCAACAUACAUUUUUUCGCGGCAUCAAUUGGGCUCUUGUUCGAUGCAUGAAACCUCCUAAACUUGAUGCACCCAUCCAAGUGACAGAUGAAUCUGAAAAGGAAGUUAAAGCUGUGGAUCCUGAACUUUUGGAUGUCCAAAUAAACAUCUUCUAAAAGAUUCAAAUGUCUGAAGUUCGAGUUCUUGUACCAGAGAAGCAUAGGAGUUAAAUUUGAAGAAUUGCAUUCCCUUUGCUAAGGACACAAUAUCCAAACCGGUUGGAUGUUGGCUCACUUUUCUAAUCUUCUCAGGUCUCUCAUCAAGAAGUUAUGACAGUUUUAAGGGGAGAAAGGAAUUGGGCUCCAAAUUGCAAAUAUAUUUUUGAACAUGAACUUCAGAGGAAUGCAACUUCAAUUUGAGGGUUACUUGCUUGUAACAAUGCCAAAGAUAAUUACAACUUUGUAAUUAUUUGAUCCCCUACUCAAGAAUAGGUAUGUUGUCGUCAAGCCCUUAGUUUGUACCACAGUUUUAAAACUCAAGAAAAACUCAUCUUGACUUGCCUGAA
This is an RNA transcript of Magnolia sinica, 3686 nucleotides long. It is a transcript of the gene named phototropin-1, with no coding region annotated. NCBI's taxonomy places the organism in Eukaryota, Viridiplantae, Streptophyta, Magnoliopsida, Magnoliales, Magnoliaceae. The transcript is spliced from 25 exons. The record is from RefSeq and is a predicted model, not a curated record.